Gopherus agassizii (Agassiz's desert tortoise) is the source of this 90-nucleotide small nucleolar RNA. Lineage: Eukaryota; Metazoa; Chordata; Testudines; Testudinidae. The record is from Ensembl.
GGGCAGCCGCGUGAUGACUUUCUUUCCCCGGCAGAUCGACCGUGGCGAUGACCUUGUGUGAACAAGCCAAAGCGUGUCUGACGGCUGCCU